Trichomycterus rosablanca is the source of this 392-nucleotide long non-coding RNA. RefSeq lists it as uncharacterized. NCBI's taxonomy places the organism in Eukaryota, Metazoa, Chordata, Actinopteri, Siluriformes, Trichomycteridae. The record is from RefSeq and is a predicted model, not a curated record. The transcript is spliced from 3 exons.
CAAAAACUUGAAGGGAAUUUUGUUGUGUGGCUAGCGAGCCGCCACAUUCCUAAACUGACCAAAAUGACAGCAACAAGUAUCGGUCGUCGUCAGGUAGAAUUAGCGUUAACAGGAUGUCUGGACAUUAUAGCCAGUACCGCAAGCAACAGGACACAGACGCACACUCAAUAUUGUCUUCAGCUGCUACCAGAGGUACCAGAUUGUAUUCGAGGAGAGCCCGUCGCUGUACACGUCUCUUCCUAAACAUGCACAGCCCCCCUCUUCUCGCCCCUGCACUCUGCACAGGCGUCUCUUCCGCCAAUCAGGGUCCUUAUACAGCGUAUGAAGACCAGUGGCGAUUUCUCUAAGACUGCAAGGGAAGCUCAGCUUCCCCUAAAAUGUAAAAAAUUAAA